CCUCGAAAUCCUGUGGCGAGAGGAUUCAGUCUGGGCGCGACGGACGCGAAGGUCGGAAGAUGCAGGGCUUCCCGAGACUGGGGCCGUUCGAUCUCGCGCCAUCUGUCGCGCUCGACGCAUUUGACUCUCGCCCGAAGGACGCUGCAGCCGGUCGGGCAGCGCAAGCGUGACGGCCUGGAGGCCGGGGAACCGCAGGUGGCCGGUGGCGCGCCCCGUGUGCGUCGCCGGUUGUUAGCAUUCCCGGCAGUGGCCCGUCGCCCGACCGAGGUGUCAAUAGACCAGCUUUGGUCUCCACGUCUCCUCCCCCAGACGAAGCGGGACAGACGGCCGCUGGCGAGGAUCGCCGUCUAGCCGCACUCGGAUCGAGUGGACGAGCGAACGGUCAGUGCCGUAGGCGGCCGCGGAGCCCGCGGGAGAGCAGGAGGCUGGCAGCGAGUGCGUCGGUCACCCACCCGACCCGUCUUGAAACACGGACCAAGGAGUCUAACAUGUGCGCGAGUCAAUGGGUCUUGAACAGGCCCAGGGGCGCAAUGAAAGCAAAGGUCGGCACCAGUCGACCGAGUUGGGAUCCCUCCCCCUCGGGGGGGGGCGCACCAACGUCCCGUCCCACCCGGCUCGCCGGAGGGGCGGAGAUCGAGCGCACACGUUGGGACCCGAAAGAUGGUGAACUAUGCCCGGACAGGACGAAGCCAGAGGAAACUCUGGUGGAGGUCCGCAGCG
This 720-nucleotide ribosomal RNA is filed under the name Chinoscopus cf. flavus UBC SEM W.Maddison d273. RNAcentral describes it as "eukaryotic LSU rRNA". The stretch from base 474 to 720 matches the Rfam family "Eukaryotic large subunit ribosomal RNA", at positions 665 to 882 of the family's 3401-position model. Lineage: Eukaryota; Metazoa; Arthropoda; Arachnida; Araneae; Salticidae. The record is from RNAcentral.